This 867-nucleotide ribosomal RNA is filed under the name Geopora cooperi f. gilkeyae. Its description in RNAcentral is "partial large subunit ribosomal RNA". It matches the Rfam family "Eukaryotic large subunit ribosomal RNA", at positions 41 to 922 of the family's 3401-position model. The record is from RNAcentral. Lineage: Eukaryota; Fungi; Ascomycota; Pezizomycetes; Pezizales; Pyronemataceae.
UAUCAAUAAGCGGAGGAAAAGAAACCAACAGGGAUUGCCUUAGUAACUGCGAGUGAAGCGGCAAAAGCUCAAAUUUGAAAUCGGUGUCCAUAAAGUACAUCGAGUUGUAAUUUGGAGGGACAACUUCGGGCCGAACCACACCGUAAGUUUUUUGGAACAGGACAUCAUAGAGGGUGAGAAUCCCGUGUCUUGGUGUAGGGUCAAACCAUGUGAAGUGUCUCCGACGAGUCGAGUUGUUUGGGAAUGCAGCUCAAAAUGGGUGGUAAAUUUCAUCUAAAGCUAAAUAUUGGCGAGAGACCGAUAGCGCACAAGUAGAGUGAUCGAAAGAUGAAAAGCACUUUGAAAAGAGAGUUAAAAAGUACGUGAAAUUGUUGAAAGGGAAGCGCUUGCGACCAGACUCGAUCUUUGGAGAUCAGCCGGGCUUCGGUUCGGUGCCCUCUUCAUUGAUUGGGCCAGCAUCGGUUCUGGCGGUGGGAUAAAAGGAGGAGGAAUGUGGCUCCCCUCGGGGAGUGUUAUAGCCACCUUCACAAUGCUACCAGUUGGGACCGAGGACCGCGCUUCGGCUAGGAUGCUGGUGUAAUGGUCUUAAGCGACCCGUCUUGAAACACGGACCAAGGAGUCUAACAUCUAUGCGAGUGUUCGGGUGGAAAACCCUUGCGCGUAAUGAAAGUGAACGGAGGUGUGAACCCUUUGCCGGGUGCAACAUCGACCGGUCCUGAUGUCUUCGGAAGGAUCUGAGUAAGAGCAUAGCUGUUGGGACCCGAAAGAUGGUGAACUAUGCCUGAAUAGGGUGAAGCCAGAGGAAACUCUGGUGGAGGCUCGCAGCGGUUCUGACGUGCAAAUCGAUCGUCAAAUUUGGGUAUAGGG